UCCUUAAUAGCUCAGUGGUUAGAGCUAUCGGCUGUUAACCGAUGUGUCGCUGGUUCAAUUCCAGCUUAAGGAG
Molecule: transfer RNA, 73 nt
Filed under: Nephromyces sp. ex Molgula occidentalis
Lineage: Eukaryota; Apicomplexa; Aconoidasida; Nephromycida
Description: tRNA-Asn
Rfam family: tRNA
About the family: Transfer RNA (tRNA) molecules are approximately 80 nucleotides in length. Their secondary structure includes four short double-helical elements and three loops (D, anti-codon, and T loops).
Source: RNAcentral